RNAcentral lists this long non-coding RNA (202 nucleotides) under Helianthus annuus (common sunflower). Its description in RNAcentral is "sRNA HanXRQr2_Chr13g0574981". The record is from RNAcentral. Lineage: Eukaryota; Viridiplantae; Streptophyta; Magnoliopsida; Asterales; Asteraceae.
GUUUGACGCUUGACAAGCUAGGUGGAGGCUUGGAAAGGAAGCGGGUCAAACGAAGCAAAUAAGAAGGAAAAGCGUACUUCGGAUGCGAGUUGAAGGACACUCGCAUCUGAAGAUGACGAGAGUUGAAUGAAUUGUGGAUAUGACGGUGGAACGGUCCGAGGUAUGACAAGCUGAGCACACUCAUUGAGGACCUAAAUCGCGU